Molecule: non-coding RNA, 218 nt
Organism: Pseudonaja textilis
Lineage: Eukaryota; Metazoa; Chordata; Lepidosauria; Squamata; Elapidae
Source: RefSeq, a predicted model, not a curated record
GGAAGAUAACACUCCAGAGAUUCAGAUGUGAAUGAAUUAAUUUUAAAUACCAAGCAAGAACCAAGCAAAGGCCAGAAAAUGCAAAUUCUAAGAGACCCAAUAAGGAGAAAGAAGUGUCUUUCCUGUCCCAAAUAAAAUUGGCUGUAAAUGGGGAGAGAGGUCAGUAAAAUGAGGACCGAGGAUAGGCCUGCGGUGGUACAGUGGUUAGAAUGCAGUAC